UACGAAGGGCCCGAGCGUUAUUCGGAAUCACUGGGCUUAAAGGGUGCGUAGGCGGAAGCGUAAGUGUCUUGUGAAAUCCCACGGCUCAACCGUGGAACUGCAGGGCAUACUGCGUUUCUUGAGGCCAGUAGAGGUUGCCGGAACUCUAGGUGUAGCGGUGAAAUGCGUAGAUAUCUAGAGGAACGCCAAAGACGAAGGUAGGCAACUGGGCUGGUUCUGACGCUGAGGCACGAAAGCGUGGGGAGCAAACAGG
RNAcentral lists this ribosomal RNA (253 nucleotides) under uncultured bacterium. RNAcentral describes it as "partial 16S ribosomal RNA". It matches the Rfam family "Bacterial small subunit ribosomal RNA", at positions 524 to 776 of the family's 1533-position model. The record is from RNAcentral.